GUCAUUGCCCAAGUCUACAUUUCAGAAGCUCAUCCAAGGAAUCGGUAUGCGUAAAUUAUCUGAGUUGAAUCGCUUGUAGUUCUCUUAUUUAAAAGUUAUGUCUAACUCAACGGGAGUAUCUAGAAGCAUACUUACAUGAUCUUAAUGUACUAUUUUUCCUACGAUUAUGAGCAUUUUUUCCCACUGGAUUUUUGCUACCUAACGAGGUUUUAUUAAGGCAUCCAUCCUGGGAUGAUCAUACUCCGUUGAGUUUACUGCCUUCGUCCAGUUUGACGUUCGUUUUAGACAUUAUGCAUACUUCUCACUUUUCUCCUUAGUCUAUGGGUUUUCCCCAUGCCUUCGGUUUUACCAUAGCGAGGUUUUGUGAGUUUUAUUAUAAAUGCAUACUUCACUUGAAUUUGAGACUCGUGAUCACCCGUUGUGCCGAUGACUUCAUCAACUAUUCUACCUUAUCUGCUGAAGAUCUGAUGCGAUG
Molecule: long non-coding RNA, 475 nt
Filed under: Malus domestica (apple)
Lineage: Eukaryota; Viridiplantae; Streptophyta; Magnoliopsida; Rosales; Rosaceae
Description: long non-coding RNA (MDOM_LNC000386)
Source: RNAcentral